RNAcentral lists this ribosomal RNA (353 nucleotides) under uncultured Pseudomonas sp. RNAcentral's name for it is "bacterial SSU rRNA". It matches the Rfam family "Bacterial small subunit ribosomal RNA", at positions 1 to 359 of the family's 1533-position model. Lineage: Bacteria; Pseudomonadati; Pseudomonadota; Gammaproteobacteria; Pseudomonadales; Pseudomonadaceae. The record is from RNAcentral.
UAGAGUUUGAUCAUGGCUCAGAUUGAACGCUGGCGGCAGGCCUAACACAUGCAAGUCGAGCGGAUGACGGGAGCUUGCUCCUUGAUUCAGCGGCGGACGGGUGAGUAAUACCUAGGAAUCUGCCUGGUAGUGGGGGACAACGUUUCGAAAGGAACGCUAAUACCGCAUACGUCCUACGGGAGAAAGCAGGGGACCUUCGGGCCUUGCGCUAUCAGAUGAGCCUAGGUCGGGAUUAGCUAGUUGGGUGAGGUAAUGGCUCACCAAGGCGACGAUCCGUAACCUGGUCUGAGAGGAUGAUCCAGUCACACUGUACUGAGACACGGUCCAGACUCCUACGGUAGGCAGCAGUUGGG